UUGAAGGCCCAUGGUUUAGCAAUGUAAACCCCGUCAGGCCUGGAAGGGAGCAGCGGUAGCAUUAACUGGAUGCGUGGUAGCCCUAGGAAU
This 90-nucleotide signal recognition particle RNA is filed under the name Pseudomonadota bacterium. RNAcentral's name for it is "Proteobacteria bacterium signal recognition particle sRNA small type". It matches the Rfam family "Bacterial small signal recognition particle RNA". From Rfam's summary of the family: The signal recognition particle (SRP) is a universally conserved ribonucleoprotein involved in the co-translational targeting of proteins to membranes. Archaeal SRP consists of a 7S RNA and homologues of the eukaryotic SRP19 and SRP54 proteins. The record is from RNAcentral. Lineage: Bacteria; Pseudomonadati; Pseudomonadota.